AUUGAACGCUGGCGGCAUGCUUUACACAUGCAAGUCGAACGGCAACAGGCCGCAAGGUUCUGACGAGUGGCGAACGGGUGAGUAAUGCAUCGGAACGUGCCCAGUCGUGGGGGAUAACUACUCGUAAGAGUAGCUAAUACCGCAUCCGAUCUAUGGAUGAAAUCGGGGGACCGUAAUGCCUCGCGCGAUUGGAGCGGCCGAUGUCAGAUUAGGUGGUUGGUGGGGUAAAGGCUCACCAAGCCAACGAUCUGUAGCUGGUGUGAGAGGACGACCAGCCACACUGGGACUGAGACACGGACAAGACUCCUACGGGAGGCAGCAGUGGGGAAUGUUGGACAAUGGGCGCAAGCAUGAUCCAGCAAUGCCGCGUGCAGGAAGAAGGCCUUCGGGUUGUAAACUGCUUUUGUACGGAACGAAACGGCUCUGGUUAAUACCCGGGGAUAAUGACGGUACCGGAAGAAUAAGCACCGGCUAACUACGUG
Molecule: ribosomal RNA, 482 nt
Filed under: uncultured bacterium
Lineage: Bacteria
Description: partial 16S ribosomal RNA
Rfam family: Bacterial small subunit ribosomal RNA
Source: RNAcentral